CAGACAAGCCAAGGCGGACGGGUGAGUAACGCGUAAGGAACUUGCCCUGCAGACAGGGAUAACAGACGGAAACGACUGACAAGACCUGAUACAGUUGCCGGCACGCAUGUGCCUGGCGAUGAAAGGAGACGCUGCAGGAGAGCCUUGCGUCCUAUUAGCUUGUUGGCGGGGUAAUGGCCCACCAAGGCGAUGAUAGGUAGCCGGCCUGAGAGGGUGGACGGCCACAAGGGGACUGAGAUACGGCCCUUACUCCUACGGGAGGCAGCAGUGGGGAAUAUUGGACAAUGGGGGCAACCCUGAUCCAGCAAUUCUGUGUGCACGAAGAAGGUUUUCGGAUUGUAAAGUGCUUUCAGCAGGGAAGAAGAAAGUGACGGUACCUGCAGAAGAAGCGACGGCUAAAUACGUGCCAGCAGCCGCGGUAAUACGUAUGUCGCGAGCGUUAUCCGGAAUUAUUGGGCAUAAAGGGCAUCUAGGCGGCCCUGUAAGUCUAGGGUGAAAACCUGCGGCUCAACCGCAGGCCUGCCCCGGAAACUACAGGGCUAGAGUGCUGGAGAGGUGGACGGAACUGCACGAGUAGAGGUGAAAUUCGUAGAUAUGUGCAGGAAUGCCGAUGAUGAAGAUAGUUCACUGGACGGCAACUGACGCUGAAGUGCGAAAGCUAGGGGAGCAAACAGGAUUAGAUACCCUGGUAGUCCUAGCUGUAAACGAUGAUUACUGGGUGUGGGCAUGAAGAGUGUCCGUGCCGAAGCU
Molecule: ribosomal RNA, 750 nt
Filed under: uncultured Leptotrichia sp.
Lineage: Bacteria; Fusobacteriati; Fusobacteriota; Fusobacteriia; Fusobacteriales; Leptotrichiaceae
Description: bacterial SSU rRNA
Rfam family: Bacterial small subunit ribosomal RNA
Source: RNAcentral